This 582-nucleotide ribosomal RNA is filed under the name Lacticaseibacillus rhamnosus. RNAcentral's name for it is "bacterial SSU rRNA". It matches the Rfam family "Bacterial small subunit ribosomal RNA", at positions 63 to 627 of the family's 1533-position model. Lineage: Bacteria; Bacillati; Bacillota; Bacilli; Lactobacillales; Lactobacillaceae. The record is from RNAcentral.
UGAAAGGUGCUUGCAUCUUGAUUUAAUUUUGAACGAGUGGCGGACGGGUGAGUAACACGUGGGUAACCUGCCCUUAAGUGGGGGAUAACAUUUGGAAACAGAUGCUAAUACCGCAUAAAUCCAAGAACCGCAUGGUUCUUGGCUGAAAGAUGGCGUAAGCUAUCGCUUUUGGAUGGACCCGCGGCGUAUUAGCUAGUUGGUGAGGUAACGGCUCACCAAGGCAAUGAUACGUAGCCGAACUGAGAGGUUGAUCGGCCACAUUGGGACUGAGACACGGCCCAAACUCCUACGGGAGGCAGCAGUAGGGAAUCUUCCACAAUGGACGCAAGUCUGAUGGAGCAACGCCGCGUGAGUGAAGAAGGCUUUCGGGUCGUAAAACUCUGUUGUUGGAGAAGAAUGGUCGGCAGAGUAACUGUUGUCGGCGUGACGGUAUCCAACCAGAAAGCCACGGCUAACUACGUGCCAGCAGCCGCGGUAAUACGUAGGUGGCAAGCGUUAUCCGGAUUUAUUGGGCGUAAAGCGAGCGCAGGCGGUUUUUUAAGUCUGAUGUGAAAGCCCUCGGCUUAACCGAGGAAGUGCAUC